UUUCCGUAGGUGAACCUGCGGAAGGAUCAUUAACGAGUUAGGGUCCUUUACGCCCGAUCUCCCAACCCUUUGUUUAUUGAACCUCUGUUGCUUCGGCGGACCCGUCUCACGGCCGCCGGAGGACCCCUCCGUCGCGUCCUCCGGCCAGCGUCCGCCGAUGGCCAACCAACUAACCUCUGAAUGAACCGUGUCAUAUGUCUAAGUCUAUGAUUAAAUUAAAGCAAAACUUUCAACAACGGAUCUCUUGGUUCUG
This 253-nucleotide unclassified non-coding RNA is filed under the name plant metagenome. Its description in RNAcentral is "partial contains small subunit ribosomal RNA, internal transcribed spacer 1, and 5.8S ribosomal RNA". The record is from RNAcentral.